Long non-coding RNA from Telopea speciosissima, 202 nucleotides. RefSeq lists it as uncharacterized. NCBI's taxonomy places the organism in Eukaryota, Viridiplantae, Streptophyta, Magnoliopsida, Proteales, Proteaceae. The record is from RefSeq and is a predicted model, not a curated record. The transcript has 2 exons.
ACUAAAGGUUUUGGAACUUCUGAAUAAGCACUCGUAAUAGUUUUUCCUUGUAGAGAGAGAGAGAGAGAUGUCGAGGUCAUUGGUGCAGCCCAUAGGGCAGAAGAGAUUGACGAACAUGACGGUGGUUUGACUGAAAAAGCAUGGAAUGCGCUUCGAGAUCGUCUGCUACAAGAAUAAGGUCCUCUAAUGGCGUUCUGGAGUU